Molecule: non-coding RNA, 443 nt
Organism: Punica granatum (pomegranate)
Lineage: Eukaryota; Viridiplantae; Streptophyta; Magnoliopsida; Myrtales; Lythraceae
Source: RefSeq, a predicted model, not a curated record
GGUUCAGCACAGAUCAAGUCCUCGGGAAUACCCAGUUCGGAAUAGUUUACCGGGGAAAACUCGAAUCAGGUAACUCCACAAGCCCGAGCGCCGAUGAGAUCAUUAUUAAAGUCGGGCGAUGGCCUCAGCUGUAUACGGAUUAUUUUUGGUCUGGAGAAUGGGAAAGUGCUCGGCCGGCGAUGAAAAAUGAGAUACUCGUCCACGAAGAGAUUAGGUCCCAUCCAAGCGUCACGAAGCUGAUCGGAUACUGUGACGAAGACGGUCAUGACGUGCUUAUUUACAAUCUCAAGCCACUCGACAGUGUCCAAAACCUACUACCUAAAGAAAAUUUCAGAUGGCUACACCGCGUGAAGGCGAUUAUACACUUAGCGUUUUUCAUCGAGUACUUGCACGCCCAUAAUCCGCAGUACUUUCUUCGCAAUUUAGAUGCAAGUCACCUUAUG